Molecule: ribosomal RNA, 400 nt
Filed under: phytoplankton environmental sample
Lineage: Eukaryota
Description: partial small subunit ribosomal RNA
Rfam family: Eukaryotic small subunit ribosomal RNA
Source: RNAcentral
AGCUCUAAUAGCGUAUAUUAAAGUUGUUGCAGUUAAAAAGCUCGUAGUUGGAUUUUGGGGUCGGGCACGCUGUCGGGCUCUGCUCGGAUUGGCAUGACCGGCCCUUUCCUUCUGGGGACUGCAUUCCUCUUCAUUGAGGGGUGUUAGGACGCAGAUCGUUUACUUUGAAAAAAUUAGAGUGUUCAAAGCAGGCAAUCGCUUGAAUACAUUAGCAUGGAAUAAUGGAAUAGGACUCCGGUUCUAUUUUGUUGGUUUCUAGGACCGAAGUAAUGAUUAAUAGGGAUAGUUGGGGGCGUUUGUAUUCCGUUGUCAGAGGUGAAAUUCUUGGAUUUACGGAAGACAAACUUCUGCGAAAGCAUUCGCCAAGGAUGUUUUCAUUAAUCAAGAACGAAAGUACGCA